Molecule: non-coding RNA, 74 nt
Filed under: Pseudomonas sp. 8AS
Lineage: Bacteria; Pseudomonadati; Pseudomonadota; Gammaproteobacteria; Pseudomonadales; Pseudomonadaceae
Description: c-di-GMP-I
Rfam family: c-di-GMP-I riboswitch aptamer
About the family: GEMM was predicted in a large-scale screen for bacterial structured RNA regulatory elements. Genes associated with GEMM are involved in a diverse array of functions, including chemotaxis regulation, signal transduction, secretion and chitin.
Source: RNAcentral
UCCCGACAAAGGCAUAACCAGGGCAACCUGGCGACGCAAAGUCACGGGCCCUCAAGGGUCGCCGGACUGCCGAA